GGAGGACUGCAACAGGAGGAGUACUCCAGCAAUAUGUUUUAACAUUCAUCCAUCCAUCCAUCCAUCCAUUUUCUAUGCCGCUUCUCUCAUUAGGGUCGCGGGGGCAUGCAAGGAUAUAAAAACGCUACAGUACAGCGGACCGGCACCAGGACGAAAAGGCACGAUCACAGGAGUGAAAUACGCGCGGGAAUUUCAAAGGCCUUAUCAGAUGAAGGUUAGCAUUCUGAAUGUGAGCUUAAUCGUCAUUCUGCAUACUUCCUGCUCUGCGCAUACAAGGAAUGUCAUCGUUUUCCUGUAACCUUGAACGCAUUGAACUCAGACCGCAGCUGGAAAACGUCAAUAAUAUUCAUAGUUAAUGUUUCUUUGCUUGAGUGAGUUUGGUGUGGAACCCUGACCGUAAGUCCAUCAAACACCUUUGGGGAUGAACUAGAGCAGAGAUGACAAGCCAGCAGGACCCUCUCUCAGCACUUCACACGGGACUGUUUUGUGAACAUGGGCCAAUAUGAAGCUGGACUAUCCAACAAACUGUUGCUGAAGUCAGACGCCUUUCCAACGUUAAUUCGGAAGAGCAAGCUUGUGAGAUGCAGCAGAAGGCACAGAGAGCCACCUGCUCCUCCUCACAAUGGAGCAGCCUGUACUCAUCGUGACUGGGACAUGUCCAGGCGCUCAACUCCUCGGCAUCCACCAACAGGUGACCCGGCGCUGCGCAUGGCUGCUGCAGGUGCGUGUGCACGUGCAUCUGGCAGCAGGGCUCCUUGCAGCGUAGGCACACCUUCCUGACGGGCAGCGACGGGCCUCGUCUGCACAGGAUGCACUGCAAAGUUGCCGGGGCCUUCUCAGAGUCCAACACGUUGAACCUCUUGACGAUGUUGGCCAGCUUGAAGUUCUUUUCCAGUAAAGGUUUCUGCUCGUACUCGUGAUUGCACUCGGGACAGCGGACCCCUGUGCCGCUAUCUUUAGCCCACGCCUCUGAUAUGCAGCCUUUGCAGAAGUUGUGUUUGCAUUGCAGUUGGAUGGGCUCCUCGAACACAUUCAGGCAGAUGGGACAUAGAAGCUCCUCCUCAAAGUAGUUUCUCCAACUCAGAUCCAUGACUUCAACUGGGUCCAAACUCUGAAAGUUAACAAGAAAAGAAUAAUUUCUUGGAAUAGCUCAGUGAAGUAAAGACAUACUAAUAUUAUGCUUACAGUGCUAUUCCCAUUAUGCUCCAAGUGGAUGGAAUAGAAUAGAAGGUCAAGAUGUUCCAGAAAAGCUCAUUUAGAGGGUGGAUGGUAGGAGACGAUUUAGGUAAACCAAAAUAAAACAACAGAAUAGCUGUUCACUAGGUAAUGCAGAAUUAAAGUGUGGGUCGUAGAAGCUAUCGAGGUAACCCACAAUAGAACAUAAGUAGACAUAGUAAUGUUAAUUUAAAGGGUAGAAGGUUAAAAACUAUCCAUGUUACCCACAUUACACUACAAUAAAGUGUCAAUAAAUUCUAGUAAUUCCGAUUUAAAGUGUAGACUAUAAUAAACUAUCCAGGUAACCCACAAUAGAACAAAAAAAAGAUGCCAAUGUGAAUGUAGAGGAGAGUAUGUAAAAAACAACUAUGUAACCCGCAAUAAAAUGUAAAAGGAUGCCAAUAAUGUGAAUUUAAAGGGUGGAAGGUACAAAAAACAUCCAUGUAACCCACAAUAAACGACAAUAGCAUGUCAGUAAGUCCCAGUAAUGCCAAUUAAAAGGAUCGACAGUAAGAAACUAUCCAGAUAACCUACAAUAGAACAUAAAUGGACGUCAGUACAGUAAUGCAAAUUUAAAGGGUGGUAUGUAAAAAAAAAACACUAUCCAUGUAACUCAUAAUAUACAAUAGAAUGCCAAUAAAUCAAAUUAAUCGCAAUUUGCCACUGGUAAUUUAAAGGGCGCAAACACCAGCCCUACAAUUGCAUAUCCAGUAAUAGAAUCACUCAUCUGUGUGAAUAUAAAGGGUGGACGGAAAUAAACUAUCCAUGUAACCCACAAUAGAAUAGAAUACUGUAAUAUGAAUGUUACAAUUAUACACAUUUAGCAGGUAGUUUGUAUUUUUAAAAGUAAUCGAAACACCUUUAAGGUCUUUAAAUUGUUAUGGUAAUAUGAUCUCGAACGCCAUACAGGUAAUGGAACAUUUGUUUGUUGUGUGUCAGUUGUCAUAAGGCAAUCCCAGCAGAGGCGUAUCGAAAGAAAAAAGUGUCAACUUGCUACAAAAGCAGAAAUGUCAUGCUGAGCUACGCAGACACUGUAUCGUAACACCACAUUCCUGCUUCCUGUACGCGAUCAUAACAGUCGGAAUUCUCACCAAUCAAAGAAAAAAAGAGACGUACCAACUAUUUCUUUUCCAUAUCAUCCGCACACCCCAGCGCACCUUCCACACACAGGAGCCUCUCGUCGUCCAAGCCCCGGGAUGAGCCAGAUCCUCGGCGUCCAAGCAGGCGGCGAGCCCCGGUUUAGCGAUCACUCACUUAGCACCGGGAUUGUGUCGUUUGUAAAACAACGCUCGUUGCCACUAUUUGAUGUUUGUUUAGCUGACGAACCGUCAAAGAUACGUGGAAGCCAAACGAAAAGUGGUCGGAAGAGAGCUCCGCGCGUCCAGGCAGACCGGCCCACUCUGCUAACGUGACCCGUCAGAGUUGAUACAUACACGGGGAGGGGAGAAGCCCAGAGGAGGAGCCAGCAGGCUGAGAGUCAGCAGCAAUUACUUUUAGAGCUGAGGCCCCCUGGGGCCCAUCAAAUAAAUGGGAAUAAAGUUGUGAGCGCAACAUAAAGCUAAUAAACGUUAUUUUCAUUCAGCAGUAAGAAGGGGUUGAUGAUAUAAACUGCAGGCCAAUGAUAAAUUGCUUUAAUAAGGAUAACAUUUGAAUUAUUGUCACAAUCAACACAAUGUAUUAAUCACUGGGGGUUUAACUGGAGUAACAGCAUACGUAGUUCAACAGUAAAAGUAACAUUUUAUUGUAAUACUCACAGCAGUUAGUACUCUAAACAACAGUGUUUACCUUCAAACACUGGGGGGAAAUGAUCUAGUCCAUUUUUGGUGCAGGUUUGAAAGAUGAACCUAGAUUUUAUUUUGUCAUGACAAGACAUUUCAUAUUUACAAACAUUUCAGCAACUGGAUGAAGAAAUUAAAGUAGAAUUCCAAGCAGACUCAAACGUCAACAUAUUCAACUAUAAUAGCCUAAUCUGGUUUAGAAAAGACAUUGUGUUUUUCCUCAGUGUUCCAUCUUUAUUGGUGUAAAUACCUACACUCUUUAAUGCACUUGGGAUUAUAAUAAGCAAGUUCAGUCAAAUGUGAUAGUACAUAAUAAAAUAGCUAAAUUUGUCACCCAACUUUUGAAAAAAAAAACACAAAAACAGUACUGUAACUGUACACAUGCACUGUAAAAAAAAAAAAAAAAAGAAAAAGUAAAAGUAGUCUCUUCAAUUUUGGUGCUAUUGGGAUUAAAAUCCAGAAGCUUCAUGGUGCAGUAACAGUCAACACAUUUUUAGUAUGAGGUCCUUUUUUGAACUCAAGGCACAGGAGUUUUGCUCCAAUUCAUUGUUUAAGAGGUCCCACAUACGACAAAAAAAAAAAUCCAACCAAAAAAACCAAAACAUAACUAGAGAAGGUAAUGGUUGAGAUUACAAUCUUUAACCACUAAAACUAGCUAUUGCUUGACAUGAGCAAGCAUGAAAGUACAUAUCAUUGAUGAUGUUGGCACACUGGAGAAAAGGCUGCUGGUACCUGUACUAUAUCAGAUACAUACUCUAUGAAAGAAAAGAGUUGACAUGUUGGCUUACUUCACAUGUGACAAUGCACUGGCAGUGAUUGGUAGCUGUUCAUGUAUCAUAUGACAGCCAUUACUUUGGCAUGAUGAAGACAAAACAUGUCCAGCAUUUGUUAAGUCUAUAUAUAAAGGCAAUAUCAAACAGAACAUCUGUUAAAAGGGAUCAGUAGCUGACGUUUUUGUCUUUACUGUGGCCACUGGAAUAAAUACAACACAAGUUAUUGCUUGUGACAUUGAUGUCUGCAUUGCAAAAUGUUUUUAAUUUGGACCUGAGACUUUGAGCCGCCUGGCUGGAGGCACUUUUGAAAAUGGUCAACCACCGUGUGGACACAGGACCCAUGCAGAUCAUCAGAUAGUCUUUUUGGAGUUCACUUGUCUUAGUCAGAACACCCCAAAGUCAAUGUGACCUCAGUGUGUUUAUGUGCAGGUUUGGAGUUGUUUUUUGUCAUAAUUAGGCAUCUGUGUCUCAUUGCAGAGGGUUAUCAAACACAGAGUCUGGUAAGACGGAGAUCUUCAGCUUCUUCUCUGGCCAAGUGUACUCCUUUGGUAAUUUCGUCUAAGAAAGAAAACGGUUAGCCUAAACAGAACUGUGGUUUAAAGUUACAAUCUCCAUAAAUGCACUCACAUCCUCACAACUGUUAAGGUCAUGUAUGUCUCCAAGCAUCUGAUCCACAAACUCUUCCGUCAACAAUAUCUGCACAGGGACGACAGAUACAAAUAUGACAGAUCAAAAACAUGUAAAUGCCAAACUGAAAGUGUAUGUGUGUACCUGGAGCCAGGGGCCAUGGGCUGCAUAGGGAUGUUCUUCAGUAGCAAAGGCUCCCUCCACCCCUGUAGACACAAACGUAAUGGCCGUGUCUCCGUGAAUGCUUUUGAAAGUAAAAUGUCUUCCGUGGAGCAAGCGACCCCUGUAAGACAUUUCAAUAUAAGAGUUAAAAGGGUAUCUAGCAAUUAGUAUGAGUAUUCAUAAAAAAACAUGCAUUUCUUUCUUCUUCAUUGCCCAUGUAUUUCAUGUAUGAGACAACAUGACAAAACUUUUUCUUUAGCUUUUUUUUGUGAUGCCACUGAAGGGUACCGCUGAAGGCAAAGAGCAAAUAUGUGAUGACGACCAUAGAACAGGGACGUAGUACACGUUUAUGUCAAAUAAAGAACAGAAUGUGCAUUGGUGUGUUUACAUGCGUUAAUGUUGGUACCUUUCUAUAUUAAUAGUGGUUAACUUCCUUUUGCUCUUGUAUGUUAAAAAGCACAAUGAAUGAAAUUACCAUGCAAAGAGACUUGCCUUCAGGAACCCUCCUUUCGACCUCUCUAUAGUCUACACAUGAUCAAAGUUAAAAGUGAGUACAUAAUUUAUUGGGUACAGUGUUCCCUCGCUCUAUCCCGGUUCACCUUUUGCAAAUUGGCAGAAUUAUUAUUGUUUAUUUUUAUAGGUUUUUUGAACGCGUUUGCAUUGGCAGAAUUUUUAUUAGGUUUUUUUGUUGUUGUUUUUUUACUGCAUUUGAACACUGUUACAGGCAGAGCCUGGCCCUUUAAGAAGAAUUGCAAUGUGGGAAGCUGAGUGUCUCUCUUCUCUCGCUCAUCUGUCUGCACUGCCCAUUGUUUUCUGCGUUCUGAUUGGCUGUAGAGCAUUGUCAAUCAAUGUCCUUUGUGCCAUCCUGCUGUGUCUCUGCUAGCUUGCUAGCUUGUAAAUUAAUCUUGGUUCAGCUGCAGCAAUGUUUUAACAAGGAUACAAAAACGCUUCAGUACAGCGGAACGGCGCUAGGAUGAAAAGGCACGGUCACAAGAGUGAAAUGUGCGUGAGUGACUUAAUUUCUUGUGUUGAUCACUAAGGUUGAUAAUUAAAUUUCAGUUAUUGCGGGCUAUUUUGAGAACCUAUCCCCUGCGAUAAACGAGGAAACACUGUAUUGCAACUAACUUAUUUUUACACUUAAGAAUGUUGUUUAUUGUUUAUUGAAGUUAAUUGGUUCCAGACCUGACCGUGAUAAAUGAAUUUCUAUGAAGUAGGAUUCCUUAUUUAUAAAUCAAAUACUUUCAUAGUUAGAGCGUAGAAAACUUGUUUACAACCUAAAUGCAGGUUUUAACAUGAGAGCCCUCUAGACAUCUGUCAACUUUACACUCGUAUUACCCAAUAUAGUAGACAUACAGUAAUAACAGAAAAUAUGACAUAUUAGACAUAAAUAAGACAUAACAUAGGCUCACACGUUAGCAUUUGGAGAGUUCCUUACUUUUUUUCUGGACGGCAUGGUGGCUGUUGUCUCAUCAAUGUAACAUUACUUACACCUAGCGAUGAUCAGUGUAGAAUACUACAUCUCACAUGUUUGAAUGAGUCUUCUGAAUGCCUUAUACAGUAAUCCCACAUUUAUUGCGGUUAACUGGUUGCAGACCCGACCGUGAUAAGUGAAUUUCUGCAAAGUAGGAUUCCCUCUUUAUAAAUUUAAUAUUUUUGUAGUUAUUGCCUGCUUAUGAUCCUCUAAUGUUUUUUCAACAUUGUCAGAGCCCACUAGACAUGAAAUAACACCCAUGUUUUCACCUUUACAUUCAUAUGACCCAAUAUAGUAAACAUAAUCAUAGAAAAUAUGACAUUUAAGACAGUUUACCUAGUAGGGAAGCAGAAUGGGUGGCGGACAGGCAGUGUAAUGUCGGGAGUUCAGAAUUGAGUUAUACCUUGGCAUGGGUUAUGGCCACAACAAUAGCUCAUGUUAUUAUAAUAAUAAUAAUAAUAUUAGGGAUGUCACCAGACACCCAACUUACGAGAUGAGACAAUGCACAAGAUAUGGGUCCAACAUUAAUUUUUAAGAAAAGUACAAAGAAAAAAUAUGACGGGACAAACAAACAAAUUUUAUUUAACCAAGUCACACAACAAUGCAGGAUCGCUUUGAAAUGUUUGUUGUCCCACAAACUGACGCUAAAUUAUAUUAUUAGCACAAUUUUUUGAGACCAAAUAAACCAAUGUAUGAUAAUCCAUCCAUCCAUUUUCUAUGCCGCUUAUCCUCACUAGGGUCACGGGGGUAUGCUGGAGCCUAUCCCAGCUGAUUUCAGGCGAGAGGCGGGGUACACUCUGGACUGGUCGCCAGCCAAACGCAGGGCCACUGUAUGAUAAUAUAUCAUAAUAAUGCAAUAUUUCAUUUAAUGCCAUCUUUCACUCUGUAAAGUUGCAGAAUUGUUUUUUGUGACAUGUAUUUUCUCACAGGCAAUUAAAUACUGUCUGUCAGAUGCUAGAUUUUCAACGAGGGUGUCAACAUUAAUAGUUCCAGCUUAUUGAACAAUGCCAGGUCCUUGUUUUUGUCUAAUUUUUAUUUUGUCUUAUUUACUUGUCUUUGCCUAUUUAUGCCAGGGCUGUCUAGCUGUCUGUUGUUAUUUAGAAUUUUAAAAAAAAUUCGAAUAAAAAAAAAAAACAUUUAAAGACAAAUCUUUUUUUAAAGUAAUUUUUUAUUAGUUAUU
Molecule: long non-coding RNA, 7206 nt
Organism: Dunckerocampus dactyliophorus (ringed pipefish)
Lineage: Eukaryota; Metazoa; Chordata; Actinopteri; Syngnathiformes; Syngnathidae
Exons: 5
Source: RefSeq, a predicted model, not a curated record